GGUUAAGCGACUAAGCGUACACGGUGGAUGCCCUGGCAGUCAGAGGCGAUGAAGGACGUGCUAAUCUGCGAUAAGCGUCGGUAAGGUGAUAUGAACCGUUAUAACCGGCGAUUUCCGAAUGGGGAAACCCAGUGUGAUUCGUCACACUAUCAUUAACUGAAUCCAUAGGUUAAUGAGGCGAACCGGGGGAACUGAAACAUCUAAGUACCCCGAGGAAAAGAAAUCAACCGAGAUUCCCCCAGUAGCGGCGAGCGAACGGGGAGCAGCCCAGAGCCUGAAUCAGUGUGUGUGUUAGUGGAAGCGUCUGGAAAGGCGCGCGAUACAGGGUGACAGCCCCGUACACAAAAAUGCACAUGCUGUGAGCUCGAUGAGUAGGGCGGGACACGUGGUAUCCUGUCUGAAUAUGGGGGGACCAUCCUCCAAGGCUAAAUACUCCUGACUGACCGAUAGUGAACCAGUACCGUGAGGGAAAGGCGAAAAGAACCCCGGCGAGGGGAGUGAAAAAGAACCUGAAACCGUGUACGUACAAGCAGUGGGAGCACGCUUAGGCAUGUGACCGCGUACCUUUUGUAUAAUGGGUCAGCGACUUAUAUUCUGUAGCAAGGUUAACCGAAUAGGGGAGCCGAAGGGAAACCGAGUCUUAACUGGGCGUUAAGUUGCAGGGUAUAGACCCGAAACCCGGUGAUCUAGCCAUGGGCAGGUUGAAGGUUGGGUAACACUAACUGGAGGACCGAACCGACUAAUGUUGAAAAAUUAGCGGAUGACUUGUGGCUGGGGGUGAAAGGCCAAUCAAACCGGGAGAUAGCUGGUUCUCCCCGAAAGCUAUUUAGGUAGCGCCUCGUGAACUCAUCUCCGGGGGUAGAGCACUGUUUCGGCAAGGGGGUCAUCCCGACUUACCAACCCGAUGCAAACUGCGAAUACCGGAGAAUGUUAUCACGGGAGACACACGGCGGGUGCUAACGUCCGUCGUGAAGAGGGAAACAACCCAGACCGCCAGCUAAGGUCCCAAAGUCAUGGUUAAGUGGGAAACGAUGUGGGAAGGCCCAGACAGCCAGGAUGUUGGCUUAGAAGCAGCCAUCAUUUAAAGAAAGCGUAAUAGCUCACUGGUCGAGUCGGCCUGCGCGGAAGAUGUAACGGGGCUAAACCAUGCACCGAAGCUGCGGCAGCGACGCUUAUGCGUUGUUGGGUAGGGGAGCGUUCUGUAAGCCUGUGAAGGUGUACUGUGAGGUAUGCUGGAGGUAUCAGAAGUGCGAAUGCUGACAUAAGUAACGAUAAAGCGGGUGAAAAGCCCGCUCGCCGGAAGACCAAGGGUUCCUGUCCAACGUUAAUCGGGGCAGGGUGAGUCGACCCCUAAGGCGAGGCCGAAAGGCGUAGUCGAUGGGAAACAGGUUAAUAUUCCUGUACUUGGUGUUACUGCGAAGGGGGGACGGAGAAGGCUAUGUUGGCCGGGCGACGGUUGUCCCGGUUUAAGCGUGUAGGCUGGUUUUCCAGGCAAAUCCGGAAAAUCAAGGCUGAGGCGUGAUGACGAGGCACUACGGUGCUGAAGCAACAAAUGCCCUGCUUCCAGGAAAAGCCUCUAAGCAUCAGGUAACAUCAAAUCGUACCCCAAACCGACACAGGUGGUCAGGUAGAGAAUACCAAGGCGCUUGAGAGAACUCGGGUGAAGGAACUAGGCAAAAUGGUGCCGUAACUUCGGGAGAAGGCACGCUGAUAUGUAGGUGAAGUCCCUCGCGGAUGGAGCUGAAAUCAGUCGAAGAUACCAGCUGGCUGCAACUGUUUAUUAAAAACACAGCACUGUGCAAACACGAAAGUGGACGUAUACGGUGUGACGCCUGCCCGGUGCCGGAAGGUUAAUUGAUGGGGUUAGCCGCAAGGCGAAGCUCUUGAUCGAAGCCCCGGUAAACGGCGGCCGUAACUAUAACGGUCCUAAGGUAGCGAAAUUCCUUGUCGGGUAAGUUCCGACCUGCACGAAUGGCGUAAUGAUGGCCAGGCUGUCUCCACCCGAGACUCAGUGAAAUUGAACUCGCUGUGAAGAUGCAGUGUACCCGCGGCAAGACGGAAAGACCCCGUGAACCUUUACUAUAGCUUGACACUGAACAUUGAGCCUUGAUGUGUAGGAUAGGUGGGAGGCUUUGAAGUGUGGACGCCAGUCUGCAUGGAGCCGACCUUGAAAUACCACCCUUUAAUGUUUGAUGUUCUAACGUUGACCCGUAAUCCGGGUUGCGGACAGUGUCUGGUGGGUAGUUUGACUGGGGCGGUCUCCUCCUAAAGAGUAACGGAGGAGCACGAAGGUUGGCUAAUCCUGGUCGGACAUCAGGAGGUUAGUGCAAUGGCAUAAGCCAGCUUGACUGCGAGCGUGACGGCGCGAGCAGGUGCGAAAGCAGGUCAUAGUGAUCCGGUGGUUCUGAAUGGAAGGGCCAUCGCUCAACGGAUAAAAGGUACUCCGGGGAUAACAGGCUGAUACCGCCCAAGAGUUCAUAUCGACGGCGGUGUUUGGCACCUCGAUGUCGGCUCAUCACAUCCUGGGGCUGAAGUAGGUCCCAAGGGUAUGGCUGUUCGCCAUUUAAAGUGGUACGCGAGCUGGGUUUAGAACGUCGUGAGACAGUUCGGUCCCUAUCUGCCGUGGGCGCUGGAGAACUGAGGGGGGGCUGCUCCUAGUACGAGAGGACCGGAGUGGACGCAUCACUGGUGUUCGGGUUGUCAUGCCAAUGGCACUGCCCGGUAGCUAAAUGCGGAAGAGAUAAGUGCUGAAAGCAUCUAAGCACGAAACUUGCCCCGAGAUGAGUUCUCCCUGACUCCUUGAGAGUCCUGAAGGAACGUUGAAGACGACGACGUUGAUAGGCCGGGUGUGUAAGCGCAGCGAUGCGUUGAGCUAACCGGUACUAAUGAACCGUGAGGCUUAACCUU
RNAcentral lists this ribosomal RNA (2907 nucleotides) under Escherichia coli. Its description in RNAcentral is "23S ribosomal RNA". It matches the Rfam family "Bacterial large subunit ribosomal RNA". The record is from RNAcentral. Lineage: Bacteria; Pseudomonadati; Pseudomonadota; Gammaproteobacteria; Enterobacterales; Enterobacteriaceae.